UGGAAGGAGAGAACAGACUAUGAAGCCCUGGGAAGACACAAGAACCACACACAAAAGAAAUCAAAGCUUCCAAAGAAAAGUAUCUUGCACAAGUAAAGGUCAUUGGCAUCCUCGUUUCUCUGUUUAUCGUCAAUCAACUGAUUAAUACCAUAUGUCUAACCAGUGUUCAGUUAGUAUCUGAUGAAGCUUUCUGUUCUGUGCUGCAACUCUUUUGAAAUUAAGUGAUUGUGCAUUAGAG
Molecule: unclassified non-coding RNA, 238 nt
Filed under: Hevea brasiliensis (rubber tree)
Lineage: Eukaryota; Viridiplantae; Streptophyta; Magnoliopsida; Malpighiales; Euphorbiaceae
Source: RNAcentral